UUGAGCUUUUGAAAUUCCAACUUAUUUUCUUGACACUUUUAGCAAAAACUUCCAACUACAAAGUUGUUCCCCACACUCUUGUGAGUAACUUCCAUGUAGAGUGCAUCUUGUGGGGAGCAUUGUGUGAGGAGUUAUACCCUUAAAAUAGCCACGAAAUUUUGGGGAAUUUUUUGUGAUUUUUGGGUUGAUUCAUUGCUUGGAGAUCAUUCCCUUGGACCAUUGGAGACUAUUGGUGUUAAGUUUUUCUAUCCUCUUUGAGUAUUCAUGGAGAUCAUAAUAUUGAUGAAGAUUUUGAAGUUGUUGCCACUCACAGAUUCAAUAGAAGUGGAUUAAGCUUGGAGCUUACGUUGAGGAGCAUUGGCUUCGGAGUGAGAUGUGUGUUGGUUUGGACUUCUGCUGAAGAUAUCCUUUGGGGAUUCCGAUCGGGUUUUGCCGUGGAGCCGACUCUGAGAGCCGUACCAGGAUGAUCCAAACGUGGGACUUCCGCUGGAUAGGGCUCAUGAGGAGUUCCAGUUGGGUUUUGCCAUGAGGUCGUCUCAUCCAUGGGAGAGGCACCGGGAAGAUUCCCGGGAGUUAUAUGAUGGGGUCCUUGAACGGAAAUCAUUAGGUGGAUGUUCUUGGAUUUGUGCCCAGUUGUUGUGAUUUUGUAUGUUAUGCAUUUUACAUGAUGUUAUUUGUUGCACAUUGAGUGAGCCAUGGGAUGGAGUGAUUCUCUAGUACCCUUGGUUUACUGAGAUAUAUUUGUAUAUCUCACCCCGCGUUUGGGGACAUCAUUUUAGGUUAUUAUGAGCAUGGAGGAGCUUCGGGCAAGAGGCCCGCUUAGUGGAGGAUUCUAGCAUGAGGUGCAUAUGAUGGCAUGACAUUUUGGAGGAGUUUAUAUUAGAUUCUAAGUCUUUUGUAUUUGAUUUAUAUUUCAUGCCUUGGUUUAUAUUGGUAUUUUGGUGAGCAUGAGAUU
Gastrolobium bilobum is the source of this 955-nucleotide long non-coding RNA. RefSeq lists it as uncharacterized. The transcript has 3 exons. NCBI's taxonomy places the organism in Eukaryota, Viridiplantae, Streptophyta, Magnoliopsida, Fabales, Fabaceae. The record is from RefSeq and is a predicted model, not a curated record.